Molecule: ribosomal RNA, 432 nt
Filed under: uncultured bacterium
Lineage: Bacteria
Description: partial 16S ribosomal RNA
Rfam family: Bacterial small subunit ribosomal RNA
Source: RNAcentral
CCUACGGGUGGCAGCAGUGGGGAAUUUUGGACAAUGGGGGCAACCCUGAUCCAGCAAUGCCGCGUGUGUGAAGAAGGCCUUCGGGUUGUAAAGCACUUUUUCGAGAUUGCCGGUACCGGAAGAAUAAGCACCGGCUAACUACGUGCCAGCAGCCGCGGUAAUACGUAGGGUGCGAGCGUUAAUCGGAAUUACUGGGCGUAAAGCGUGCGCAGGCGGUCUGUUAAGACCGAUGUGAAAUCCCCGGGCUUAACCUGGGAACUGCAUUGGUGACUGGCAGGCUUGAGUGUGGCAGAGGGAGGUAGAAUUCCACGUGUAGCAGUGAAAUGCGUAGAGAUGUGGAGGAAUACCGAUGGCGAAGGCAGCCUCCUGGGCCAAACUGACGCUCAUGCACGAAAGCGUGGGGAGCAAACAGGAUUAGAUACCCUUGUAGUC